This 83-nucleotide transfer RNA is filed under the name Histoplasma capsulatum var. duboisii H88. Its description in RNAcentral is "Ajellomyces capsulatus H88 tRNA". It matches the Rfam family "tRNA". From Rfam's summary of the family: Transfer RNA (tRNA) molecules are approximately 80 nucleotides in length. Their secondary structure includes four short double-helical elements and three loops (D, anti-codon, and T loops). Further hydrogen bonds mediate the characteristic L-shaped molecular structure. tRNAs have two regions of fundamental functional importance: the anti-codon, which is responsible for specific mRNA codon recognition, and the 3' end, to which the tRNAs corresponding amino acid is attached (by aminoacyl-tRNA synthetases). tRNAs cope with the degeneracy of the genetic code in two manners: having more than one tRNA (with a specific anti-codon) for a particular amino acid; and 'wobble' base-pairing, i.e. permitting non-standard base-pairing at the 3rd anti-codon position. RNAcentral also lists the same sequence under 1 other name. The record is from Rfam by way of RNAcentral. Lineage: Eukaryota; Fungi; Ascomycota; Eurotiomycetes; Onygenales; Ajellomycetaceae.
GGGCAAUUAGCUCAGUUGGUAGAGCGUUCGCUUUGCAUGCCUCAGAGUGCGAAAGGUCGUGAUUUCGAUUAUCACAUUGUCCA